AUGUGCAACACCAACAUUUGCGAGAAUCUCCUAAAGGUGAACUCCUUCCCUUUGAGCCAUCCUCAAAUAUGCAUAAUGGAUGGGUCACUCUUUCAUUGUUGUUUCCUUCUUCUUGUCUACAUGUUACAUCUAUUGGAUGGAGGACCGACAUUGGAGAUGGAACCCAUGAACCUUCAAGUUGAGGAGCGCUCGGACUUAUUGGAUGCACCUUCGAACCUCCACUCAUGCAACGACAUCGAGCAUUGGUACGCCAACACCUCCAUACUUGUUGAUUGUGCUCACCCAUGUCAUGCUCGAUGGACAUAUCAUACACAUGACAAAUUUGCAUCUUAUGCAUGGAUUGACUCACAUGAUGAUUGCCUUGUUGCAUCUUGUAUUCCCAUGUCAUCCAUGAUAUAUGAGCUUGUGCAUUUCCUUAGCAAAUUUGUUGUGAUAUUUCUUGAUGGCAUAUUCAUACAUCACGAUCAUAUUGCCUACCAUCACUUGCAUGAUAACUCAUUCAUAUUGAGCAUCCAUUACCAUAUUCAUGUUAUUGAGAAACCGUCUCACUAUGACAUCAUUUUGCACCGUGGUUGCAUUGAUCAUAUUCACAAAACAUUUGUGUGCAUAAUGAAUGUUUUUGCUCCCAUGAAUGCUUUGCAUACCAUUCCAUAUCUUUUGGAUAAGCUUCAUGCACCUUGUCUUGCUCACUCUUGUCGCACAGACUUAUGCUUACUUGAUGGACACCUUGUGUGCGCUAACCAUUGUAUUUCCGAGUGUCGCUUGUGUUUGCUCUUUUUGCAUGUAUACCACUACGGAGACACCUUGGGGUACUUGGAUUGCGCCAUGUCUUCAUCUCCGUCCAACUUCAAGUCUCUCCACGACAACCGUUUCCAUGGUGAUGACGAUCAUGAUCCGAGGUCGGAUCUUUCCCGAGGGGGAGGAGAUGAUGCGGAGCAUCCUAUGGACAUCACCAUGUCAAGAGCCACUUCGUCAAGUGACACGUGUGACAUCUACUUCAUGCUUACAAAGGUGAAUCGUCUACUUUACACGUGUCCACUUGUACCCUUCGAGGAUGGUAUACUACUUGACCCCUCUCUCGUGUGCAUGCAUAGGUGUGAGCGGAGCUACAUGUUCUUCGAGGAGGAACCCAAUCGGAAGAGUACAACUACACCAUCCACGAGGAGAACGCACGAAAGAAGGAAGCUCGCUGAGUCCAAGGAGAAGGACGGGAAGACCGCAAGGAAGACGGAGGCGAGUAGAUGGAAGAAGAAGCACGGUUCAGAGGACCCCGUGCGCACGGACCUUUUGGACCCCACGCGCACGGCCUAUCCAGAGAGUUUCUGGAUACCCCGUGCGCACGGGCCCCAAAAGACCCAAUGCCCACGGGGCUGA
This 1374-nucleotide ribosomal RNA is filed under the name Triticum aestivum (bread wheat). RNAcentral's name for it is "partial small subunit ribosomal RNA". Lineage: Eukaryota; Viridiplantae; Streptophyta; Magnoliopsida; Poales; Poaceae. The record is from RNAcentral.